UACGUAGGUCCCGAGCGUUGUCCGGAUUUAUUGGGCGUAAAGCGAGCGCAGGUGGUUUAUUAAGUCUGCUGUAAAAGGCAGUGGCUCAACCAUUGUAUGCAUUGGAAACUGGUAGACUUGAGUGCAGGAGAGGAGAGUGGAAUUCCAUGUGUAGCGGUGAAAUGCGUAGAUAUAUGGAGGAACACCGGUGGCGAAAGCGGCUCUCUGGCCUGUAACUGACACUGAGGCUCGAAAGCGUGGGGAGCAAACAGG
RNAcentral lists this ribosomal RNA (252 nucleotides) under uncultured bacterium. Its description in RNAcentral is "partial 16S ribosomal RNA". It matches the Rfam family "Bacterial small subunit ribosomal RNA", at positions 524 to 776 of the family's 1533-position model. The record is from RNAcentral.